UCCUCCCUCUGUCGGCGUGCUUAACACAUGCAAGUCGAACGGAAAGGCCCUGCUUUUGUGGGGUGCUCGAGUGGCGAACGGGUGAGUAACACGUGAGUAACCUGCCCUUGACUUUGGGAUAACUUCAGGAAACUGGGGCUAAUACCGGAUAGGAGCUCCUGCUGCAUGGUGGGGGUUGGAAAGUUUCGGCGGUUGGGGAUGGACUCGCGGCUUAUCAGCUUGUUGGUGGGGUAGUGGCUUACCAAGGCUUUGACGGGUAGCCGGCCUGAGAGGGUGACCGGCCACAUUGGGACUGAGAUACGGCCCAGACUCCUACGGGAGGCAGCAGCGGGGAAUAUUGCACAAUGGGCGGAAGCCUGAUGCAGCAACGCCGCGUGCGGGAUGACGGCCUUCGGGUUGUAAACCGCUUUCGCCUGUGACGAAGCGUGAGUGACGGUAAUGGGUAAAGAAGCACCGGCUAACUACGUG
Molecule: ribosomal RNA, 468 nt
Filed under: uncultured bacterium
Lineage: Bacteria
Description: partial 16S ribosomal RNA
Rfam family: Bacterial small subunit ribosomal RNA
Source: RNAcentral